Molecule: ribosomal RNA, 792 nt
Filed under: Triticum aestivum (bread wheat)
Lineage: Eukaryota; Viridiplantae; Streptophyta; Magnoliopsida; Poales; Poaceae
Description: partial small subunit ribosomal RNA
Source: RNAcentral
AUGGCCGAUCAGGGCGACGGAGGGGCUGUGGCUCCGGCGGCGCCGGCACCGGCCGUGGUGCUGGGAGCACAGCCGGAGGAACCUGCCGGGGAUGCAGGUUUGGAGGAGCCGCUGGUGGAAGUGCACGAUGCUCCCGUGCUGGAUGCUCCGGUGCCCGUGGUUGGUGAAGGCGUGGAGGACCCGCAGGAAGAAGAGGCCUUGGAUGGAGGUGACAAUCAGGCGCCGGCUCUGGAUGAAGGAGAGGUGGACCUGCUGACGGAGCUCCUGCAGGAACUGGAUGAACCCGAGCCGGAGGAUGUGGACGAGUCAGCUGUCCGCAACCUCAUGGACGAACUGGCGCAAGGGGAGCCCAAGAAACGGAAGAUUGACUACACGCUGGCCACACAAGGACCGACGACUGCUGGCGGAUCCGGUGCCGGCGUUGCAACCCUCCCCAAGGCAGGCCCUUCCAUAAUGAACCACACGCUGCCUUUCAUGGUGCCGCCGGCCGGAGCAGCUCCUCCCCUGAUCAUCCCCGGCUUCGGCUUGCCUUUCGUGGGAAUGCCACCUGUGGGAGCCGGCGGGAUGCCACGAUUACCAAUGCUGGCCAGCGGCGGGCCGCCGCCGCUGUGUCCCGCCUGCCACAGAGCAACCAGGCAGCCAAACCAGGCUCGCGUUGGCAUGUCCCCAUUCAAUCGUCCAGACCCGCACAUCUGCUUGUGCUUACCGUGCCAAGAGAGGCUGGAUCAGAGGAUUCAGUACUGCCAGGACUGCCGCGCUUUCUAUGCGACGAACACAGGUUUCACGAGGUGA